Molecule: ribosomal RNA, 116 nt
Filed under: Pteropus alecto (black flying fox)
Lineage: Eukaryota; Metazoa; Chordata; Mammalia; Chiroptera; Pteropodidae
Source: RNAcentral
AUCUUCGGCCAUGCCACCCUGAAGAAGCCCCAUGUCUGAACUCAGAAGCUAAGCAGGGUUGGGCCUGGUUAGUACUUGGAUGGGAGACCACCUAGGAAGGCCAGGUGCUGUAGGCA